RNAcentral lists this ribosomal RNA (375 nucleotides) under uncultured organism. Its description in RNAcentral is "partial 16S ribosomal RNA". It matches the Rfam family "Bacterial small subunit ribosomal RNA", at positions 527 to 896 of the family's 1533-position model. The record is from RNAcentral.
GAACCGUACGAACGUUUAUUCGGAAUUAUUGGGCUUAAAGGGUGCGUAGGCGGUGCGGUAAGUGAGGUGUGAAAGCCCUCGGCUCAACCGAGGAAUUGCGCUUCAUACUGCCACACUUGAGGGAGACAGAGGUAAGCGGAACUGAUGGUGGAGCGGUGAAAUGCGUUGAUAUCAUCAGGAACACCAGUGGCGAAAGCGGCUUACUGGAUCUCUUCUGACGCUGAGGCACGAAAGCUAGGGGUAGCGAACGGGAUUAGAUACCCCGGUAGUCCUAGCUGUAAACGAUGAGCACUUGGUCGGGGGAUCCCCCUCAUAGGUUCCCGAUCGUAGCGAAAGUGUUAAGUGCUCCGCCUGGGGAGUAUGGUCGCAAGUCUG